ACUAUUUCAUCGAGAAAAUAUUUCUGCGUAGCAACACGUGUCUUCUGUGUCUUAAACGAAGCAUUUAAUUUUUUCCAGCUGUUCAACCACGUUAAAAAUUUCUAUGCCAAUUUCAAGCUGAUUUUUCGUACCUACUGAGGACAUUAGCCACCUGACACAACCCGCUUAGCAACGCACGUCACGUAAAUUUUUCAAAAUAAUGUAUUGCUAACAAAUUUUUAUACAGCUCCGUUAACAGUUCUGUGACAUUGUCCUUAUGCACGGGAAUACGAAAUUACAGCCAACAUGUACGUUACAUGUAAUAUCGUAUUUGUUGAACUUGGGUGCUAACGAACUGAUUAACU
Long non-coding RNA from Cephus cinctus (wheat stem sawfly), 344 nucleotides. RefSeq lists it as uncharacterized. NCBI's taxonomy places the organism in Eukaryota, Metazoa, Arthropoda, Insecta, Hymenoptera, Cephidae. The transcript has 3 exons. The record is from RefSeq and is a predicted model, not a curated record.